GCCUGAGUGGCUUAAUCAGUUAAGUGUCCGACUUCAGCUCGGGUCAUGAUCUUACAGCUUAUGGGUUCGAGCCCCAUGUCGGGCU
RNAcentral lists this transfer RNA (85 nucleotides) under Felis catus (domestic cat). It matches the Rfam family "tRNA". From Rfam's summary of the family: Transfer RNA (tRNA) molecules are approximately 80 nucleotides in length. Their secondary structure includes four short double-helical elements and three loops (D, anti-codon, and T loops). Lineage: Eukaryota; Metazoa; Chordata; Mammalia; Carnivora; Felidae. The record is from Rfam by way of RNAcentral.